RNAcentral lists this transfer RNA (111 nucleotides) under Candidatus Woesearchaeota archaeon. RNAcentral's name for it is "tRNA-Arg". It matches the Rfam family "tRNA". From Rfam's summary of the family: Transfer RNA (tRNA) molecules are approximately 80 nucleotides in length. Their secondary structure includes four short double-helical elements and three loops (D, anti-codon, and T loops). Further hydrogen bonds mediate the characteristic L-shaped molecular structure. tRNAs have two regions of fundamental functional importance: the anti-codon, which is responsible for specific mRNA codon recognition, and the 3' end, to which the tRNAs corresponding amino acid is attached (by aminoacyl-tRNA synthetases). tRNAs cope with the degeneracy of the genetic code in two manners: having more than one tRNA (with a specific anti-codon) for a particular amino acid; and 'wobble' base-pairing, i.e. permitting non-standard base-pairing at the 3rd anti-codon position. Lineage: Archaea; Nanobdellati; Candidatus Woesearchaeota. The record is from RNAcentral.
GGGCCUGUAGCAUAGCCUGGAUACGUCAAAUCCUUUGACGGAUUUGCCUUUAGGCAAAUAGUGCGUUCGGCUUCGGACCGGAUGACCGGGGUUCAAAUCCUCGCAGGCUCA